GACGAACGCUGGCGGCGUGCUUAACACAUGCAAGUCGAGCGGUAAGGCCCUUUCGGGGGUACACGAGCGGCGAACGGGUGAGUAACACGUGGGUGACCUGCCCUCAGCUCUGGGAUAAGCCUGGGAAACCGGGUCUAAUACUGGAUAUGACUCCAUGACGCAUGUUGUGGGGUGGAAAGCCUUGUGCGGCUGAGGAUGGGCCCGCGGCCUAUCAGCUUGUUGGUGGGGUGAUGGCCUACCAAGGCGACGACGGGUAGCCGGCCUGAGAGGGCGACCGGCCACACUGGGACUGAGACACGGCCCAGACUCCUACGGGAGGGCAGCAGUGGGGAAUCUUGCGCAAUGGGCGGAAGCCUGACGCAGCGACG
Molecule: ribosomal RNA, 368 nt
Filed under: uncultured bacterium
Lineage: Bacteria
Description: bacterial SSU rRNA
Rfam family: Bacterial small subunit ribosomal RNA
Source: RNAcentral